AAUGGAAAAUUAUUAUAUAAUAUGUGAGUUUACGUAAAGAAAAGUAAUUUUGUUUUAAUUAAUGAAUAGGUCUGUAAGAUAGGACAUAAAUGCUUUGUAAGAAACUUUUGAGAUUAAUAAGUUACAGUAGAGCAAUAAUAAUUAACAAAGUAAGUUAAAGGCGUAAUUAUUAAGGUGAAUCUAAAUUCCUUUUACUUAAUGGGCAAACGUUGAUUUGCAAAA
This 222-nucleotide long non-coding RNA is filed under the name Mytilus galloprovincialis (Mediterranean mussel). The record is from RNAcentral. Lineage: Eukaryota; Metazoa; Mollusca; Bivalvia; Mytilida; Mytilidae.